This 873-nucleotide ribosomal RNA is filed under the name uncultured bacterium. Its description in RNAcentral is "bacterial SSU rRNA". It matches the Rfam family "Bacterial small subunit ribosomal RNA", at positions 588 to 1457 of the family's 1533-position model. The record is from RNAcentral.
UNUGCUGUGAAAGGCUGGGGCUUAACCCUGGUUUUGCAGUGGNUACGGGCUAACUAGAGUGCAGUAGGGGAGACUGGAAUUCCUGGUGUAGCGGUGGAAUGCGCAGAUAUCAGGAGGANCACCGAUGGCGAAGGCAGGUCUCUGGGCUGUAACUGACGCUGAGAAGCGAAAGCAUGGGGAGCGAACAGGAUUAGAUACCCUGGUAGUCCAUGCCGUAAACGUUGGGCACUAGGUGUGGGGGNCAUUCCACGUUUUCCGCGCCGUAGCUAACGCAUUAAGUGCCCCGCCUGGGGAGUACGGCCGCAAGGCUAAAACUCAAAGAAAUUGACGGGGGCCCGCACAAGCGGCGGAGCAUGCGGAUUAAUUCGAUGCAACGCGAAGAACCUUACCAAGGCUUGACAUAUACUGGACUGCGUCAGAGAUGGCGUUUCCCUUCGGGGCUGGUAUACAGGUGGUGCAUGGUUGUCGUCAGCUCGUGUCGUGAGAUGUUGGGUUAAGUCCCGCAGCGAGCGCAACCCUCGUUCUAUGUUGCCAGCACGUGAUGGUGGGGACUCAUAGGAGACUGCCGGGGUCAACUCGGAGGAAGGUGGGGAUGACGUCAAAUCAUCAUGCCCCUUAUGUCUUGGGCUUCUCGCAUGCUACAAUGGCCGGUACAGAGGGUUGCGAUACUGUGAGGUGGAGCUAAUCCCUAAAAGCCGGUCUCAGUUCGGAUUGGGGUCUGCAACUCGACCCCAUGAAGUCGGAGUCGCUAGUAAUCGCAGAUCAGCAACGCUGCGGUGAAUACGUUCCCGGGCCUUGUACACACCGCCCAUCAAGUCACGAAAGUUGGUAACACCCGAAGCCGGUGGCCUAACCCUGGUGGGGGGAGCCGUC